AGUGAACGCUGGCGGCGUGCCUAACACAUGCAAGUCGAACGGGCUAGUGCUUCGCACUAGUCUCUUUCUGGGGUUGCUACUCUAAGGCUACCUGCUAAAGUUAUUGCUUUAAAGCAGGGGUUUUAGGGGACCUUCCCCAAAAGGGGCCAGUGCGGAGCACUGGCCAGUGGCGAACGGGUGAGUAACACGUGGGUAAUCUGCCCUCGAGUGGGGAAUAAGCUCCCGAAAGGGGGUCUAAUACCGCAUGACGUUUCAUAACGAUGGUUAUGAAACCAAAGCCCAAAAGGCGCUUGAGGAGGAGCCUGCGUCCUAUCAGCUUGUUGGCAGGGUAAUGGCCUACCAAGGCUAUGACGGGUAGCCGGCCUGAGAGGGUGUCCGGCCACACUGGAACUGAGACACGGUCCAGACUCCUACGGGAGGCAGCAGUAGGGAAUCUUCCGCAAUGGGCGCAAGCCUGACGGAGCGACGCCGCGUGAGUGAUGAAGGCCUUCGGGUCGUAAAGCUCUGUUCGUUGAGGAACG
This 521-nucleotide ribosomal RNA is filed under the name uncultured bacterium. RNAcentral's name for it is "bacterial SSU rRNA". It matches the Rfam family "Bacterial small subunit ribosomal RNA", at positions 29 to 451 of the family's 1533-position model. The record is from RNAcentral.